RNAcentral lists this ribosomal RNA (330 nucleotides) under Triticum aestivum (bread wheat). RNAcentral describes it as "partial small subunit ribosomal RNA". Lineage: Eukaryota; Viridiplantae; Streptophyta; Magnoliopsida; Poales; Poaceae. The record is from RNAcentral.
AUGCGUUGCGUUGCGUUUACAGGACGCUUCCGGUGUCGAUUAGUGCCGGUGACGGUGAGCAUCUCCGGGCUUUGGGUGCGCCUCGUAACAAUGGGACUCGUCGCCGUGUCUUUUUCUAUGGUGCCAGUGUGCUGCUGCUGCUGCAGUUGCAAGGAUCAUGUGUGUCCCAAAGCGCUUCGCUUCGCUCAACACGUGAACGUUGGAGCUGGGAUGAAUGGGGACGGUUGCGGUUGUCCGGGAGCGAGUGGAGUAGGUGGAUGGGAGGGGCGGACGGCGCCUGCUUCGCUUUCCCACCUGUGCCCCAACGAAAAAAUAUCUGUGGCGAACUAG